UACGAAGGGGGCGAGCGUUGUUCGGAAUUACUGGGCGUAAAGGGCGCGUAGGCGGCCGGCUCAGUCAGGAGUGAAAGCCCCGGGCUCAACCUGGGAACGGCUCUUGAUACUGGUCGGCUUGAGUUCCGGAGAGGAUGGUGGAAUUCCCAGUGUAGAGGUGAAAUUCGUAGAUAUUGGGAAGAACACCGGUGGCGAAGGCGGCCAUCUGGACGGACACUGACGCUGAGGCGCGACAGCGUGGGGAGCAAACAGG
Molecule: unclassified non-coding RNA, 253 nt
Filed under: uncultured Alphaproteobacteria bacterium
Lineage: Bacteria; Pseudomonadati; Pseudomonadota; Alphaproteobacteria
Description: contains 16S-23S intergenic spacer region
Rfam family: Bacterial small subunit ribosomal RNA
Source: RNAcentral